Molecule: ribosomal RNA, 253 nt
Filed under: uncultured bacterium
Lineage: Bacteria
Description: partial 16S ribosomal RNA
Rfam family: Bacterial small subunit ribosomal RNA
Source: RNAcentral
UACGGAGGGUGCGAGCGUUAAUCGGAAUGACUGGGCGUAAAGGGCACGCAGGCGGGCUUUUAAGUGAGAUGUGAAAUCCCCGGGCUUAACCUGGGAAUAGCAUUUCAGACUGGGAGUCUAGAGUACUUUAGGGAGGGGUAGAUUUCCACGUGUAGCAGUGAAAUGCGUAGAGACGUGGAGGAAUACCGAAGGCGAAGGCAGCCGCUUGGGAAUGUACUGACGCUCAUGUGCGAAAGCGUGGGGAGCAAACAGG